AUUGAACGCUGGCGGCAGGCCUCACACAUGCAAGUCGAACGAGUGGCGGACGGGUGAGUAAUGUCUGGGAAACUGCCUGAUGGAGGGGGAUAACUACUGGAAACGGUAGCUAAUACCGCAUACCAUCAGAUGUGUCCAGAUGGGAUUAGCUAGUUGGUGGGGUAACGGCCAACCAAGGCGACGAUCCCUAGCUGGUCUGAGAGGAUGACCAGACACACUGGAACUGAGACACGGUCCAGACUCCUCAGGGAGGGAGCAGUGGGGAAUAUUGCACAAUGGGCGAAAGCCUGAUGCAGCCAUGCCGCGUGUUUGAAGAAGGCCUUCGGAUUGUAAAGUACUUUCAGCGGGGAGGCGUUACCAGCAGAAUAAGCACCGGCUAACUCCGUGCCAGCAGCCGCGGUAAUAC
Molecule: ribosomal RNA, 406 nt
Filed under: uncultured bacterium
Lineage: Bacteria
Description: partial 16S ribosomal RNA
Rfam family: Bacterial small subunit ribosomal RNA
Source: RNAcentral